GAACUCUGGAGAAGCUCCGCGCACCGGCGCCCGUUCCGGUUUGCCUGCGGAGUGCCGAAGGUGCAAGGCCCAUGGGUCGAAUCUCUCAGGCAAAAGGACAGAGCGU
This 106-nucleotide non-coding RNA is filed under the name bovine gut metagenome. RNAcentral's name for it is "Glycine riboswitch". It matches the Rfam family "Glycine riboswitch aptamer", at positions 9 to 86 of the family's 94-position model. Rfam says of the family: This family represents the bacterial glycine riboswitch. Glycine riboswitches usually consist of two metabolite-binding aptamers domains with similar structures in tandem. The record is from RNAcentral.